CGCCGCUUCGUCCCCAUCCCCCGCGCACCCAGCGCCUGCUUCCUCCCGAGGAAUGCCGCCGACCGCCCUCCAUCCCCACCACAACAGCGACCUCCUCCACAGGUUUCCUCCGCCGAGAAGGCUCCUCCUCCUCAAGCUUUCUCCCCCGAACAGGGCCUCCUCCUCCACGAGCAUCCUUCCCCGAGCACUAAGCUGGGCCGCAUCCUGGUUCCCUCACCCGAGCAGCGGACCUUCCUGUACGGCCCCUCUCCCGAGAAGCUCCACCUCCUCUACAUCCUCCCCCAGCUGAGAAUGACUUAUAAGUUCAUGGCAAAAGCAGCAACAUGAGUACGCAACCACAAGCAAGCUGAGGGGUUAUUUCUAGACAACGCUUUAGGAACCGAGUUCACUACAACUCGAAGUCUUGUGCAUGGAGGAGAAUUGAGAUAUUUGUGCAUUCUGUACUAGUCAAAAGGUUGGCAUCAUGGUUGGAAGAUCUUCUGUGCUACUCUCUACAUGAUGUUUCUUCUACAUGAUAGCACUUGACGUCUAUAUGAUAGCGCUUGAAGUCUACAUGAUGUUUCUUGUAUUCAUAGCUCAAACCAUUUGUUUAGCUUAGUUUGAACAAAAAAUAUUAUUGUCUUACAUGUAAAUAAUGUUUACUAAUGUAGCUGGAUGCUACUGAACGCA
This is a non-coding RNA of Aegilops tauschii subsp. strangulata, 669 nucleotides long. NCBI's taxonomy places the organism in Eukaryota, Viridiplantae, Streptophyta, Magnoliopsida, Poales, Poaceae. The record is from RefSeq and is a predicted model, not a curated record.